CUUUCUCAUCUCAAAAUCCAAAUUUCCUAAACAUAGGUAGAAAUACAGAGCUUUUAAAGGAGGGGCCCCUCAGUUCUAAGAUAUUGUGGUUAGCUGUUGUAAUCAUUCCAUCUCUGGAAAGACAAAGCCUGUGAAGUCAGCCAGCUGCCUACCUAGGACUGGCACCACCUGGGAGUUUUCUCUUUUAACAAAGGACUUAAACUGCCUCAGGGAUGCAGGCCAGGCUGCAGUGCCCAAAAAGAGUGAGGGAAGUUUUAAAGAGAUAGAAAAUCUUUUUUUUUCCCUUCAGGCCCUUCUCUCUGUUAAGCUAUAAAUAGUUCAAACAAGGAAAAAAGGUUUUCAUGACUUCUGAAAAACGAAGCACAAAAAAUAAUCAGCACUGUUUUAAACAAAAGGUCAAAUAAAGUAAUCUCAACUAGUUAAUUUUUAUUCUGUUUGAGGUUGGGUUAGCAAUCCUCAUGAAUGUAUCAAGUGUUUUUUUAUUAAAAUAAACUAGUUUCUUUAGGCCUGGAUGCCCUCCAGCUGAGGUAUCUAGAUGUUAAACUCAAAGCAUCUUCAGUUAAAGUGGAAGUAACUUUUAAAAAGAAGAAAAACAGGCGGGCGGGCGGCCGGCCGGCAGGCGGGUGCUGGGGCCGAGGCCGAGGCCGGGAGUGCCUGAGCGCUGGCUGCGACGACGACGGCAGCGGCAGCCCAGCAGGCCCGGAGCGUGUGUCCGCGGAGCCGCGGCGGCUCAGGGUCUGCCCGCGGGCUGCAGUGCGAGUGAGCGGCCCGGCUCCCCUCCUCCCCCGCCCACCGCUGCCGUGAUUGGGUGGAAGAUGGCGCUGGGCGGAUGGAAAUCCUAAUGACAGUCUCCAAAUUCGCCUCCAUCUGUACCAUGGGCGCCAAUGCUUCGCUUCGGCAUUAGAGAAAGAGAUUGGUCCAGAACAGUUUCCAGUCAAUGAGCACUAUUUUAGAUUAGUCAAUUUUGGGAAUACCUGCUACUGCAGUUCAGUUCUUCAAGCACUUUAUUUUUGUCGUCCGUUUCGGGAAAAAGUUCUAGCCUACAAGAGUCAACCCAGGAAGAAGGAGAACCUUCUUACAUGCUUAGCAGAUCUCUUCCAUAGCAUAGCCACUCAGAAGAAAAAGGUUGGAGUAAUACCUCCUAAGAAGUUCAUAACAAGGUUACGGAAAGAAAAUGAGCUUUUUGACAACUACAUGCAACAAGAUGCCCAUGAAUUCUUAAAUUACCUGCUAAAUACAAUUGCUGAUAUUUUACAAGAAGAGAGGAAGCAGGAAAAACAAAGUGGUCGCUUACCUAAUGGUAAUAUUGAUAGUGAAAAUAACAACAGCACACCAGACCCAACGUGGGUUCAUGAGAUUUUUCAGGGAACAUUAACUAAUGAAACCAGAUGUCUUACUUGUGAAACUAUAAGCAGCAAAGAUGAAGAUUUUUUAGAUCUUUCUGUUGACGUGGAACAAAACACAUCAAUUACUCACUGCUUAAGGGGUUUUAGCAACACAGAAACUCUCUGCAGUGAAUACAAAUAUUACUGUGAAGAGUGUCGCAGCAAACAGGAAGCACAAAAACGGAUGAAAGUUAAAAAACUGCCCAUGAUUCUAGCUCUACACCUGAAGAGAUUCAAAUAUAUGGAUCAGCUUCAUCGAUAUACAAAACUUUCUUACCGGGUAGUUUUUCCUUUAGAACUUCGUCUAUUUAACACUUCAGGCGAUGCAACCAAUCCAGACAGAAUGUAUGACCUUGUUGCUGUUGUGGUUCACUGUGGAAGUGGUCCCAAUCGAGGCCAUUAUAUUGCAAUAGUUAAAAGUCAUGAUUUUUGGUUGUUGUUCGAUGACGACAUUGUAGAAAAAAUAGAUGCACAAGCUAUUGAAGAAUUCUACAGGUUGACAUCAGACAUCUCAAAGAACUCUGAGUCUGGUUACAUCCUUUUCUACCAGUCUCGGGACUGAGGGGGAAUCACGAUGAAAAGAUACUUUCUGCCUCAUUUCUUCUCUGGUUAUUUUGGAAAGGAUCAAGCACUGUUUUUUCACAAAAAGAGAAAUGCAGGAAGCUCAGGGGGCAGCAGCACACUUUGCACACAGUGAAGCAAAGACGAUGGAUAACAAGCCCUUCCGAUCAUGGUAGUCGAUUUAUUUGCUCAGGUAUCAUGCUGUCCGUACAGUUCCAUAUGACAAGGAAGUGAAAGCAGAGAUACCAGCUCCUCUUGUAAAACAGCCUUCCAGUUACUGACACACAUCUUCUCUUCAUUAAUUGCACCAGUAAUUAUUUGAGUUCCUUGGGGGUGCAGUAGAAGGAAUUGGAAUCUGUGCUAGCUUGUAUUGAUAAUUUAAGGAGAUGAUGCUGAACACGCUGCAUAAAUUCGUCUGUGUUCAGUUAUGUAUAAAAGCAUAUUUACUGGUCUUUUCAAGAGUAAACCAGAAAUACUUUUGGGCCCAACACUUGCAGUUGCCUUCCUGAUGUAAAAAACUAACAAAUGCUAGAUAAUCCAGUGUCAGGAAGACAAAUAUGUUUUGCUUCUCUGAAGAAGCUUAUAAUAAUAUACAGUAUAUGUAUAUGUAGGGAACAAUUGGUCAAAAGUGGCUUUUUGUUUCCCCAAGGGGAAAGACUGGCUUUGUAAUUAUAACUUUUUCCUUAUUUAUUUUACUUAAAACUGGUAGAGUCUAAGUAUUGUAUGAAGUGCCCAUGAUUCUGUCAGUAAAUUUGAGCACAUUUUUCUUAGUUUAUGUCAGUUUAACUAGUCCUUUUGUUUGUUCUAUUUUUAAGGUGAACUUUAAAUUCUAUCUAAAAUCGGUAAGAUACCUUGAAAACUUGCAAUGAGAGGAGGUGAAUAUUCUUUUUCAGGAGGAACUGAUAUCUCUGGCUAAAUAUUUGUCCUUUUACUAUAGUUUAUAAGUCAGUUAUGUAUUGAGCUUUAAUUUCAGUAAAAUAAAAAACUAU
Non-coding RNA from Microcebus murinus (gray mouse lemur), 2935 nucleotides. Lineage: Eukaryota; Metazoa; Chordata; Mammalia; Primates; Cheirogaleidae. The record is from RefSeq and is a predicted model, not a curated record.